UGCUCCUCUUCCCAAGAAUGUUCUCUGCACAUUCAAGGUGCAGUGAUUUCAGGUCAACUUGGUGGUUCCCGUUUUCAGUUUAGGAGGCAUCCAUGCUAGGUGCUACAUCUGACACUGAGCAGAAGCGUGACAUGCAGAUGGGAGUAAGGGGAUUGUCUGGCCCUUGGAAGGUCUUUCUAAUUAGCUUCCCAAACUAUAUAGCCUGCAAGAGAGAGUAACUCAGGACCUAGAAGAACUCACAGGAGGAAAAAAAGCCCUAAGUUUUAUUACAUGCUCACAAAGGCCCAGUGAUGAAAUUGAGAUGAAAAAAUGACCAACGGAGCAGCUUUUGUACAUUUUAGACAAAGAAGCAUAAAUCUUUAAUGUUUUACAGGACAAUUUUAUGUUUUCUAUGUUUGGGAGCUACCAUUAGUAAGGAAUUCUCAAAAUGAUU
Zalophus californianus (California sea lion) is the source of this 433-nucleotide long non-coding RNA. RefSeq lists it as uncharacterized. The transcript has 3 exons. Lineage: Eukaryota; Metazoa; Chordata; Mammalia; Carnivora; Otariidae. The record is from RefSeq and is a predicted model, not a curated record.